GCCCGCCUAGCUCAAUCGGAUAGAGCGUCAGACUAUUCAUCUGAAGGCUGCGAGUUCGACCCUCGCGGUGGGCU
This 74-nucleotide transfer RNA is filed under the name Cylindrobasidium torrendii FP15055 ss-10. RNAcentral describes it as "tRNA-Asn (ATT) (tRNA-Asn-ATT-1-1)". It matches the Rfam family "tRNA". Rfam says of the family: Transfer RNA (tRNA) molecules are approximately 80 nucleotides in length. Their secondary structure includes four short double-helical elements and three loops (D, anti-codon, and T loops). Lineage: Eukaryota; Fungi; Basidiomycota; Agaricomycetes; Agaricales; Physalacriaceae. The record is from RNAcentral.